CCCAGCCUUGAUCGUACUAAAUGAAUAAGUGACAGCUAACUAUGUGCCAGCAGCUGCGGUAAAACAUAGGUCACGAGCAUUAUCCGGAUUUAUUGGGCGUAAAGGAAGCGUAGGCGGACAAGCCGAUCUAUUGUGAAAGGCACUUGCUUAACAAGUUGUUUGUGAUAGAAAUCACUUGUCUAGAAUUAGUUAGGAGAUACUGGAAUUCAAUGUGUAGCGGUGGAAUGCGUAGAUAUAUUGAGGAACACCAGAGGCUAAGGCGAGUAUCUAGGACAUAAUUGACGCUGAGGCUUGAAAGCGUGGGGAGCAAAUGGGAUUAGAUACCCCAGUAGUCCACGCCGUAAACGAUGGGUAUUAGGUAUUUGAUUUAUGAUUGAGUGCUGUAGCUAACGCGUUAAAUACCCCGCCUGGGUAGUAUAUAUGCAAAUAUGAAACUCAAAGAAAUUGACGGGGACCUGAACAAGUGGUGGAGCAUGUUGCUUAAUUCGAUAAUACACGCAAAACCUUACCGAGGCUUGUAAUCUUUUGCAAAGCUAUAGAAAUAUAGUGGAGGCUAUCAGAAUGACAGGUGGUGCAUGGCUGUCGUCAG
This 589-nucleotide ribosomal RNA is filed under the name Candidatus Mycoplasma haematoparvum. Its description in RNAcentral is "bacterial SSU rRNA". It matches the Rfam family "Bacterial small subunit ribosomal RNA", at positions 462 to 1058 of the family's 1533-position model. The record is from RNAcentral. Lineage: Bacteria; Bacillati; Mycoplasmatota; Mollicutes; Mycoplasmatales; Mycoplasmataceae.